AGCAGCCGCGGUAAUUCCAGCUCCAAUAGCGUAUAUUAAAGUUGUUGCAGUUAAAAAGCUCGUAGUUGAAUUUCGGGAUCAGUACGUUGGUCGUGCCAUCGGUACGUACUGGUGUUACUGGUUCCUACCUUCUGAGGAACCGUCAUGUCAUUAAUUUGGUGUGGUGGGAAAUCAGGACUGUUACUUUGAAAAAAUUAGAGUGUUUAAAGCAGGCUCGCGCUUGAAUACAUUAGCAUGGAAUAAUGAAAUAGGACGUUCGAUCCUAUUUUGUUGGUUUCUAGGAUUGACGUAAUGAUUAAUAGGGAUAGUUGGGGGCAUUAGUAUUCAAUUGUCAGAGGUGAAAUUCUUGGAUUUAUUGAAGACUAACUACUGCGAAAGCAUUUGCCAAGGAUGUUUUCAUUAAUCAAGAACGAAAGUUAGGGGAUCGAAGACGAUCAGAUACCGUCGUAGUCUUAACCAUAAACUAUGCCGACUAGGGAUCGGAUGAUGUUUAUUUUUUAAUGUACUCAUUCGGCGUCCGUUACGGGAAAACC
This 533-nucleotide ribosomal RNA is filed under the name uncultured fungus. Its description in RNAcentral is "SSU rRNA". It matches the Rfam family "Eukaryotic small subunit ribosomal RNA", at positions 569 to 1099 of the family's 1831-position model. Lineage: Eukaryota; Fungi. The record is from RNAcentral.